ACUUGACUAGCUGAGAGGAGUGCAUGGCCGUCGUCAGUCGUACUGUGAAGCAUCCUGUUAAGUCAGGCAACGAGCGAGACCCACGCCAACAGUUGCCAGCUCGUCCUCCGGGGAUGGUGGGGACACUGUUGGGACCGCCUCGUGCUAAAGAGGAGGAAGGGAAUGGGCAACGGUAGGUCAGUAUGCCCCGAAUAUCCCGGGCUACACGCGAGCUACAAUGGUUGGUACAAUGGGUAUCUACCCCGAAAGGGGACGGGAAUCUCCUAAAACCAAUCUUAGUUCGGAUUGAGGGCUGCAACUCGCCCUCAUGAAGCUGGAAUCCGUAGUAAUCGCGUUUCAACAGAACGCGGUGAAUACCGUCCCUGCUCCUU
This 371-nucleotide ribosomal RNA is filed under the name uncultured Methanosaeta sp. RNAcentral describes it as "bacterial SSU rRNA". It matches the Rfam family "Archaeal small subunit ribosomal RNA", at positions 970 to 1338 of the family's 1478-position model. Lineage: Archaea; Methanobacteriati; Methanobacteriota; Methanomicrobia; Methanotrichales; Methanotrichaceae. The record is from RNAcentral.